RNAcentral lists this ribosomal RNA (914 nucleotides) under uncultured marine archaeon. Its description in RNAcentral is "bacterial SSU rRNA". It matches the Rfam family "Archaeal small subunit ribosomal RNA", at positions 1 to 922 of the family's 1478-position model. The record is from RNAcentral.
UUCCGGUUGAUCCCGCCGGACCUGACUGCUAUCGGAUUGAUACUAAGCCAUGCUAGUCUUUGUAGUAAUACAAGGCAUACGGCUCAGUAACGCGUAGUCAACCUACCCUAUGGACGGGGAUAAUCUCGGGAAACUGAGCAUAAUUCUUGAUAGAUCAUAAUGCCUGGAAUGGUUUAUGGUUAAAAUGAUUCGUCGCCAUAGGAUGGGACUGCGGCCUAUCAGCUUGUUGGUGAGGUAAUGGCCCACCAAGGCGAUUACAGGUACGGGCUCUGAGAGGAGAAGCCCGGAGAUGGGUACUGAGACAAGGACCCAGGCCCUAUGGGGCGCAGCAGGCGAGAAAACUUUGCAAUGUGCGAAAGCACGACAAGGUUAGUCCGAGUGAUUUCUGCUAAAGAGAUCUUUUGCUAGUUAUAAAACCACUAGUGAAUAAGGGGUGGGCAAGUUCUGGUGUCAGCCGCCGCGGUAAAACCAGCACCUCAAGUGGUCAGGAUGAUUAUUGGGCCUAAAGCAUCCGUAGCCGGCUCUGUAAGUUUUCGGUUAAAUCUAUGCGCUCAACGUAUGGGCUGCCGAAAAUACUGUAGAGAUAGGGAGUGGGAGAGGUAGACGGUACUCGGUAGGAAGGGGUAAAAUCCUUUGAUCUAUCGAUGACCACCUGUGGCGAAGGCGGUCUACCAGAACACGUUCGACGGUGAGGGAUGAAAGCUGGGGGAGCAAACCGGAUUAGAUACCCGGGUAGUCCCAGCUGUAAACUAUGCAAACUCAGUGAUGCAUUGGCUUGUGGCCAAUGCAGUGCUGCAGGGAAGCCGUUAAGUUUGCCGCCUGGGAAGUACGUACGCAAGUAUGAAACUUAAAGGAAUUGGCGGGGGAGCACCACAAGGGGUGAAGCCUGCGGUUCAAUUGGAGUCAACGCCGGG